Molecule: ribosomal RNA, 477 nt
Filed under: uncultured Planctomycetales bacterium
Lineage: Bacteria; Pseudomonadati; Planctomycetota; Planctomycetia; Planctomycetales
Description: bacterial SSU rRNA
Rfam family: Bacterial small subunit ribosomal RNA
Source: RNAcentral
UUCGCAAUGCCCGAAAGGGUGACGAAGCGACGCCGCGUGUGGGAAGAAGGCCUUCGGGUUGUAAACCACUGUCGGGAGUUAGGAAAUGUAAGGGUGCUAAUAGUAUCCUUACUUGACUAAGGCUCCGGAGGAAGCCACGGCUAACUCUGUGCCAGCAGCCGCGGUAAUACAGAGGCGGCAAGCGUUGUUCGGAAUUAUUGGGCGUAAAGAGCACGUAGGCGGCCUUGUAAGUCAGUUGUGAAAGCCUUCUGCUUAACGGAAGAACAGCAGUUGAAACUACAGGGCUUGAGUGCGGGAGGGGAGAGUGGAACUUCUGGUGGAGCGGUGAAAUGCGUAGAUAUCAGAAGGAACGCCGGCGGCGAAAGCGGCUCUCUGGUCCGCAACUGACGCUGAGUGUGCGAAAGCUAGGGGAGCAAACGGGAUUAGAUACCCCGGUAGUCCUAGCCGUAAACGAUGGGCACUAAGUAGAGGGGUUUU